Molecule: ribosomal RNA, 444 nt
Filed under: uncultured bacterium
Lineage: Bacteria
Description: bacterial SSU rRNA
Rfam family: Bacterial small subunit ribosomal RNA
Source: RNAcentral
GAUAAACGCUGGCGGCGCACAUAAGACAUGCAAGUCGAACGGACUUAAUCGAUUCUUUUAGAUUCGAAGCGGUUAGUGGCGGACUGGUGAGUAACACGUAAGCAACCUGCCUGUUAGAGGGGAAUAACAGUGAGAAAUCACUGCUAAAACCGCAUAUGCCGUGAACAUCGCAUGAUGAAAACGGGAAAAGAGCAAUCUGCUAAUAGAUGGGCUUGCGUCUGAUUAGCUAGUUGGUGUGGUAAAGGCAUACCAAGGCAACGAUCAGUAGCCGGACUGAGAGGUUGAACGGCCACAUUGGGACUGAGAUACGGCCCAGACUCCUACGGGAGGCAGCAGUCGGGAAUAUUGCGCAAUGGAGGAAACUCUGACGCAGUGACGCCGCGUAUGGGAAGAAGGUUUUCGGAUUGUAAACCAUUUUAGACAAGGAAGAAACAAGACAGUACU